Molecule: ribosomal RNA, 492 nt
Filed under: uncultured bacterium
Lineage: Bacteria
Description: partial 16S ribosomal RNA
Rfam family: Bacterial small subunit ribosomal RNA
Source: RNAcentral
AGUGAACGCUGGCGGUAGGCCUAACACAUGCAAGUCGAACGGCAGCACAGUAAGAGCUUGCUCUUACGGGUGGCGAGUGGCGGACGGGCGAGGAAUACAUCGGAAUCUACUUUUUCGUGGGGGAUAACGUAGGGAAACUUACGCUAAUACCGCAUACGACCUGCGGGUGAAAGCAGGGGAUCUUCGGACCUUGCGCGAUUGAAUGAGCCGAUGUCGGAUUAGCUAGUUGGCGGGGUAAAGGCCCACCAAGGCGACGAUCCGUAGCUGGUCUGAGAGGAUGAUCAGCCACACUGGAACUGAGACACGGUCCAGACUCCUACGGGAGGCAGCAGUGGGGAAUAUUGGACAAUGGGCGCAAGCCUGAUCCAGCCAUACCGCGUGGGUGAAGAAGGCCUUCGGGUUGUAAAGCCCUUUUGUUGGGAAAGAAAAGCAGCAGGUUAAUACCCCGCUGUUCUGACGGUACCCAAAGAAUAAGCACCGGCUAACUUCGUG